GCUGCAUGCUUUAUACAUGCAAGUCGAACGAAGGCCCUAGCUUGCUAGGUGUCCUUAGUGGCGCACGGGUGAGUAACACGUGGGAACAUACCUUAUAGUACGGAAUAACUGCGGGAAACUGUAGCUAAUACCGUAUAUUCCAGUAAUGGGAAAGAUUUAUCGCUAUAAGAUUGGCCCGCGCAAGAUUAGCUUGUUGGUGAGGUAAAAGCUCACCAAGGCUUCGAUCUUUAGCUGGUUUGAGAGGAUGAUCAGCCACACUGGGACUGAGACACGGCCCAGACUCCUACGGGAGGCAGCAGUAGGGAAUAUUGGACAAUGGGGGCAACCCUGAUCCAGCAAUGCAGCGUGAGUGACGAAGGCCUUAGGGUUGUAAAACUCUUUCAUCGGUGAGGAUAAUGACAGUAGCCGAAGAAGAAGGACCGGCUAAUUCCGUGCCAGCAGCCGCGGUAAUACGGAAGGUCCUAGCGUUGUUCGGAAUUACUGGGCGUAAAGCGCAUGUAGGCGGAACAGAAAGUUAGAAGUGAAAUCCCUGGGCUCAACCUAGGAAUUGCUUUUAAAACUUCUGUUCUGGAAUUCAGGAGAGGAAAAUGGAAUUUCCAGUGUAGAGGUGAAAUUCGUAGAUAUUGGAAGGAACACCAGUGGCGAAGGCGAUUUUCUGGACUGAUAUUGACGCUGAGAUGCGAAGGCAUGGGUAGCAAACGGGAUUAGAUACCCCGGUAGUCCAUGCAGUAAACGAUGGGUGCUAGUCGUCGGACUUUUGUUCGGUGUCGUAGCUAACGCGUUAAGCACCCCGCCUGGGGAGUACGGUCG
This 810-nucleotide ribosomal RNA is filed under the name uncultured Alphaproteobacteria bacterium. RNAcentral's name for it is "bacterial SSU rRNA". It matches the Rfam family "Bacterial small subunit ribosomal RNA", at positions 39 to 888 of the family's 1533-position model. The record is from RNAcentral. Lineage: Bacteria; Pseudomonadati; Pseudomonadota; Alphaproteobacteria.